GACGAACGCUGGCGGCGUGCCUAAUACAUGCAAGUAGAACGCUGAAGAGAGGAGCUUGCUCUUCUUGGAUGAGUUGCGAACGGGUGAGUAACGCGUAGGUAACCUGCCUGGUAGCGGGGGAUAACUAUUGGAAACGAUAGCUAAUACCGCAUAAAAUUGAUUAUUGCAUGAUAAUUAAUUGAAAGAUGCAAUUGCAUCACUACCAGAUGGACCUGCGUUGUAUUAGCUAGUUGGUGAGGUAACGGCUCACCAAGGCGACGAUACAUAGCCGACCUGAGAGGGUGAUCGGCCACACUGGGACUGAGACACGGCCCAGACUCCUACGGGAGGCAGCAGUAGGGAAUCUUCGGCAAUGGGGGGAACCCUGACCGAGCGACGCCGCGUGAGUGAAGAAGGUUUUCGGAUCGUAAAGCUCUGUUGUAAGAGAAGAACGGGUGUGAGAGUGGAAAGUUCACACUGUGACG
This 464-nucleotide ribosomal RNA is filed under the name Streptococcus sanguinis. Its description in RNAcentral is "bacterial SSU rRNA". It matches the Rfam family "Bacterial small subunit ribosomal RNA", at positions 28 to 474 of the family's 1533-position model. The record is from RNAcentral. Lineage: Bacteria; Bacillati; Bacillota; Bacilli; Lactobacillales; Streptococcaceae.